CCUUUGAUAGCUCAAUUGGUAGCACAGAGGACUGUAGAUCCUACUUCAGGGUGCUGGUUCAAAUCUAGCUCAAAGGA
RNAcentral lists this transfer RNA (77 nucleotides) under Scleropages formosus (Asian bonytongue). Its description in RNAcentral is "tRNA-Tyr". It matches the Rfam family "tRNA". Rfam says of the family: Transfer RNA (tRNA) molecules are approximately 80 nucleotides in length. Their secondary structure includes four short double-helical elements and three loops (D, anti-codon, and T loops). Further hydrogen bonds mediate the characteristic L-shaped molecular structure. tRNAs have two regions of fundamental functional importance: the anti-codon, which is responsible for specific mRNA codon recognition, and the 3' end, to which the tRNAs corresponding amino acid is attached (by aminoacyl-tRNA synthetases). tRNAs cope with the degeneracy of the genetic code in two manners: having more than one tRNA (with a specific anti-codon) for a particular amino acid; and 'wobble' base-pairing, i.e. permitting non-standard base-pairing at the 3rd anti-codon position. Lineage: Eukaryota; Metazoa; Chordata; Actinopteri; Osteoglossiformes; Osteoglossidae. The record is from RNAcentral.